GAUGAACGCUGGCGGCGUGCCUAAUACACGCAAGUCGAGCGAACAGACGAGGAGCUUACUCCUCUGACGUUAGCGGCGGACGGGUGAGUAACACGUGGAUAACCUACCUAUAAGACUGGGAUAACUUCGGGAAACCGGAGCUAAUACCGGAUAACAUGUUGAACCGCAUGGUUCAACAGUGAAAGACGGUCUUGCUGUCACUUAUAGAUGGAUCCGCGUCGCAUUAGCUAGUUGGUAAGGUAACGGCUUACCAAGGCAACGAUGCGUAGCCGACCUGAGAGGGUGAUCGGCCACACUGGAACUGAGACACGGUCCAGACUCCUACGGGAGGCAGCAGUAGGGAAUCUUCCGCAAUGGGCGAAAGCCUGACGGAGCAACGCCGCGUGAGUGAAGAAGGUCUUCGGAUCGUAAAACUCUGUUAUUAGGGAAGAACAAAUGUGUAAGUAACUAUGCACGUCUUGACGGUACCUAAUCAGAAAGCCACGGCUAACUACGUG
This 497-nucleotide ribosomal RNA is filed under the name uncultured bacterium. RNAcentral describes it as "partial 16S ribosomal RNA". It matches the Rfam family "Bacterial small subunit ribosomal RNA", at positions 28 to 507 of the family's 1533-position model. The record is from RNAcentral.